Molecule: ribosomal RNA, 2034 nt
Filed under: Myxobolus turpisrotundus
Lineage: Eukaryota; Metazoa; Cnidaria; Myxozoa; Bivalvulida; Myxobolidae
Description: SSU rRNA
Rfam family: Eukaryotic small subunit ribosomal RNA
Source: RNAcentral
CUGGUUGAUCCUGCCAGUAGGGCAAGCUAUUCUCGAAGAUUAAGCCAUGUAUGUGCCAAGUUCAUACGUUUUUACGUGAGACUGCGGACGGCUCAGUAUAUCAGUGAUUAUCUAUUUGAUUGUAUCUCCCAUUGGAUAACCGUGGGAAAUCUAGAGCUAAUACAUGUAGUUAAUUGGCGUAUCUUCGGGUACGUCAAAGCAUUUAUUAGAUUAAACCAUCUACUACUCUGUAGUAAGACGAAUCUAGAUAACUUGUCUGAUCGUAUGGCCUCGUGCCGGCGACGUUUCAAUUGAGUUUCUGCCCUAUCAACUUGUUGGUAAGGUAUUGGCUUACCAAGGUUGCAACGGGUAACGGGGAAUCAGGGUUCGAUUCCGGAGAGGGAGCCUGAGAAACGGCUACCACAUCCAAGGAAGGCAACAGGCGCGCAAAUUACCCAAUCUAGACAGUAGGAGGUGGUGAAGAGAAUUACUAAGUGGUGGUUCAAUGAACUACCAACUUGGAAUGGACGUAACUUAAGCAAUUCGUUGAGAAACAACUGGAGGGCAAGUCCUGGUGCCAGCAGCCGCGGUAAUUCCAGCUCCAGUAGUUUGCUUUAAAGUUGUUGCGUUUAAAACGCUCGUAGUUGGAUCAUGCAACAGUGUACGGUAAUCUAUUCAUUAGACCAGAUAUUUCGAGGAGUCGUUGAAAGACGACACUUGUGAUCUGGACUGUGAUAGAUAUAAAAGCUGAACACUGUUAAUUGCGUGUGAGAUGGAUUGUUGACCUUUAGUGAGUCGGUAAUCCUGUCUCGCGGGAUGUGCCUUGAAUAAAACAGAGUGCUUAAAGCAGGUUGAUGCCUGAAUGUUAUAGCAUGGAACGAACAAUAGUGUAUACGUAUGCGAUUUUCAAUAGUGACAGGCCUAUGGCUUGCCACUGUUGGGGGCGCGUACAUCACCCACCAAAAUAUGGCUGUUGGUUCCAUAUACGGUGAUGAUUAAAAGGAGCGGUUGGGGGCAUCGGUAUUUGGCCGCGAGAGGUGAAAUUCUUGGACCGGCCAAGGACUAACAAAUGCAAAGGCACUUGUCUAGACCGUUUCCAUUAAUCAAGAACGAAAGUGGGAGGUUCGAAGACGAUCAGAUACCGUCCUAGUUCCCACUGUAAACUAUGCCGACCUGGGAUCAGUUUAGAGAUGCUACAAGCUCUAAAUUGGUCCCCCUGGGAAACCUCAAGUUUUUCGGUUACGGGGAGAGUAUGGUCGCAAGGCUGAAACUUAAAGGAAUUGACGGAAGGGCACCACCAGGGGUGGAGCCUGCGGCUUAAUUUGACUCAACACGGGGAAACUUACCUGGUCCGGACAUCGAUAGGAUACACAGACCAAUAGAUCUUUGUUGAUGCGAUGAGUGGUGGUGCAUGGCCGUUCUUAGUUCGUGGAGUGAUCUGUCGGCUUUACUGCGGUAACGAACGAGACCACAGUCUCCAUUUAAGAAACAGAAAAAGACAACCUAUUGCUGGGACUAGUCUCACCCAGUAGGUUGUUGUUGGUUAGAGUUGUGGCUAUAUAGCAACGUUGUGGAAGAGCAAUCUUAAAUAGCGAAGCUGUAUGGCUGUGCCUUUUCCUUUCUGUCAAGUAGUAACUGGUUUACACUAGUUGCUGCCUUAUGGAGAGACAACGAGGUAUAAUCAAGCUCGAGGAAGAGUGGCUAUAACAGGUCAGUGAUGCCCUUCGAUGUUCAGGGCUGCACGCGCGCUACAAUGAUAACGACAACGAGUAUCCGCGUCGAAAGACGUAGGUAAUCUUUAAUCGUUAUCGUGAUGGGGAUUGACCGUUGUAAUUUUCGGUCAUGAAAGAGGAAUCCCUAGUAUGCAUAUUUUAUUAGAAUGUGCAGAUUGAGUCCCUGCCCUUUGUACACACCGCCCGUCGCUACUACCGAGUGAAUGGUGUCAUGAUGCCCUGGGACUGGACGUCUAGCGGGAUUAACCUCUUGCAAGAUGCUAGAAUCAGUGUAAAAUGGCGCAAGUUCGAGGAAGUAAAAGUCGUAACAAGGUUUCCGUAG